UCUACCUCUCUCACAAACACUACUCGAUAAACACUAAAAAAAAAAUUAGAGAGAGAAAAUUGGGGAGAUAGAGAUAUGGAAGCAUCACCGUGUCAAUCUGAUGUUUGGGUUUCCUCUAAUAGCAGAUUUGAGCAGAAUCCAGAUGAGAAAAGCUUAGCAAAGCAGCAGCAGCAGCAACAGCUAUGGAGGACGACGAGUUCUGGGUCUGGACAUGAUGACGAAGAAGAAUGUGUUGGAUUGAAGAAUGAGAGGAAGAAAAACAAGAAGAAAAACCAGGUUUUGCUAGAAGGGUAUGUGGAGGCGGCAGACGAGGAUAAUCUGAAGAGGGCCAAGAGCUUGACGGACGAUGAUCUUGAUGAGUUAAAAGGGUGUUUGGAUCUGGGAUUUGGGUUCAGCUACGACGAGAUUCCUGAGCUCUGUAAUACUUUGCCAGCUCUCGAGCUCUGCUAUUCGAUGAGCCAAAAGUACAUGGACGAGCAACAGAAAUCGCCUGACAAUUCCGUGGUUGCGUCUUCGGAUUCCUGCUCUUCGGUCUCGAGUCCGAUCGCUAAUUGGAAGAUCUCUAGCCCUGGUGAUCAUCCAGAAGAUGUUAAAGCCAGGCUCAAAUAUUGGGCACAAGCUGUAGCUUGUACUGUCAAAUUGUGCAGCUGAAACAGACUGAAUUCAGCUGCGAAAUCAGUGAAAAGGGAAUCAAAAUUCUUUUAAAAGCCUAAAAAUCGAAAACCAACAUGUUCAACAGAAGCCUGGACCUUCAUGUGGAGCUUGUUCUUCACUGGUCGACUUCUCAGCUGGAAGAAAUUUUCGUGUGGAAUUGGAUAUUGAGAAUUCUGAUGAUGAGGGCUGAUGGAUAUUUUGAAAGGAGAAAAAGACGAGAAAGAAUGUUUCAGCAGUGAGAAAUAUUCAUUUAGAGCUUCAACAACUCUACUUUGCUGAACCUCAGUCUGCAUUUCUGCUGAGCUCUCUUUGACUAGUUAUGAUUGUCCAUCCCGGGCUGGUAUUCGGAGGCAGGUGGAAUGAGAGGGGAGAUUGUGAACUUUUUUUUCUUUGAUUAAUUUCGAAAUUUGUUGUGUUCUUUCUCUCAAUCUAUAACUUGUAUCUUAGUUGUUCACUACAAGGACAAGUAGAGUGAGAUGGGGAGAUUGUGAACAUUGUUUUCUUGAAUGAUUUCAAAAUUGGCUAUGUUAUACCUCUCGGUUUACUUGUAUCCUUGAUGAUUACUGAGGAUUCUAGUUUUUUUUUUCCUUGGAUCCAAGAAACCCUAAGUUAUUAACUGACUUGUGAUGAGUAAACUUUUAAUAAUUAGGGUUUCUCAUUGGAAUUGGCUGUUGACUUUCUUUGUAAUGAAAUUAUAUAAAUGAUACAUUAGAGUGUUACAUUUUUA
This is an RNA transcript of Humulus lupulus (European hop), 1381 nucleotides long. RefSeq lists it as uncharacterized. The record is from RefSeq and is a predicted model, not a curated record. The transcript is spliced from 4 exons. Lineage: Eukaryota; Viridiplantae; Streptophyta; Magnoliopsida; Rosales; Cannabaceae.